Molecule: ribosomal RNA, 366 nt
Filed under: Pseudomonas sp. RGCB531
Lineage: Bacteria; Pseudomonadati; Pseudomonadota; Gammaproteobacteria; Pseudomonadales; Pseudomonadaceae
Description: bacterial SSU rRNA
Rfam family: Bacterial small subunit ribosomal RNA
Source: RNAcentral
GCUCUUCCAUUCAGCGGCGGACGGGUGAGUAAUACCUAGGAAUCUGCCUGGUAGUGGGGGACAACGUUUCGAAAGGAACGCUAAUACCGCAUACGUCCUACGGGAGAAAGCAGGGGACCUUCGGGCCUUGCGCUAUCAGAUGAGCCUAGGUCGGAUUAGCUAGUUGGUGAGGUAAUGGCUCACCAAGGCUACGAUCCGUAACUGGUCUGAGAGGAUGAUCAGUCACACUGGAACUGAGACACGGUCCAGACUCCUACGGGAGGCAGCAGUGGGGAAUAUUGGACAAUGGGCGAAAGCCUGAUCCAGCCAUGCCGCGUGUGUGAAGAAGGUCUUCGGAUUGUAAAGCACUUUAAGUUGGGAGGAAGG